This 496-nucleotide ribosomal RNA is filed under the name uncultured bacterium. Its description in RNAcentral is "partial 16S ribosomal RNA". It matches the Rfam family "Bacterial small subunit ribosomal RNA", at positions 28 to 506 of the family's 1533-position model. The record is from RNAcentral.
GAUGAACGCUGGCGGCGUGCCUAAUACAUGCAAGUCGAGCGAACGGACGAGAAGCUUGCUUCUCUGAUGGUAGCGGCGGACGGGGGAGUAACACGUGGAAAACCUACCUAUAAGACUGGGAUAACUUCGGGAAACCGGAGCUAAGACCGGAUGAUAUUUUGAACCGCAUGGUUCAACAGUGAAAGACGAUCUUGCUGUCACUUAUAGAUGGAUCCGCGCUGCAUUAGCUAGUUGGUAAGGUAACGGCUUACCACGGCCACGAUGCAUAGCCGACCUGAGAGGGUGAUCGGCCACACUGGAACUGAGACACGGUCCAGACUCCUACGGGAGGCAGCAGUAGGGAAUCUUCCGCAAUGGGCGAAAGCCUGACGGAGCAACGCCGCGUGAGUGAUGAAGGUCUUCGGAUCGUAAAACUCUGUUAUUAGGGAAGAACAUAUGUGUAAGUAACUGUGCACAUCUUGACGGUACCUAAUCAGAAAGCCACGGCUAACUACGU